Long non-coding RNA from Sycon ciliatum, 368 nucleotides. RefSeq lists it as uncharacterized. The record is from RefSeq and is a predicted model, not a curated record. The transcript is spliced from 3 exons. NCBI's taxonomy places the organism in Eukaryota, Metazoa, Porifera, Calcarea, Leucosolenida, Sycettidae.
AGCGGCCAUCUCCCAGGACGAAUGGGGAAUGUACCUCCUAUGUACACACUGCGGAACCUGCAACAGCGUCCCGUCAUGAACAGUGCCGUCGUUCCACUCCAGAGGCCGAGGUUCUCCCAAUUGUUGGGGAAACUGCCCCAGCUAAGCGGCACUACACGGCGGCGAUCCCUAACCCAGUCUCCAUGGUGAAUUGGAAGCCAAUUGAGCGGCCAUCUCCCAGGACGAAAGUGGAAUGUACUUCCUAUGAACACACUACGGACCCUGCAACAGCGUCCCGUCAUGACCAGUGCGGUCGUUCUACUCCAGAGGCCGAGGUUCUCCCAAUCGUUGGGGAAACCCUCCCAGCUACGCGGCGUUACAGGGCGGCG